AGAGUUUGAUCUUGGCUCAGAGUGAACGCUGGCGGCAGGCCUAAUACAUGCAAGUCGAACGGCAGCACAGCAGAGCUUGCUCUGUGGGUGGCGAGUGGCGGACGGGUGAGGAAUACAUGGGAAUCUGCCCAGUCGUGGGGGAUAACGUAGGGAAACUUACGCUAAUACCGCAUGCGCCCUUCGGGGGAAAGCCGGGGACCUUCGGGCCUGGCGUGAUUGGAUGAGCCCAUGUCGGAUUAGCUAGUUGGUGGGGUAAAGGCCCACCAAGGCGACGAUCCGUAGCUGGUCUGAGAGGAUGAUCAGCCACACUGGAACUGAGACACGGUCCAGACUCCUACGGGAGGCAGCAGUAGGGAAUAUUGGACAAUGGGCGCAAGCCUGAUCCAGCCAUGCCGCGUGAGUGAAGAACGCCCUCGGGUUGUAAAGCUCUUUUGUCCGGAAAGAAAAGCGCUGGGUUAAUACCCUGGUGUCCUGACGGUACGGAAGAUAAGCACCGCUACCUCGUGCAGCAGCCGCGGUAUACGAAGGUGCAGCGUCACUCGAAUUCUGCGCUNAACCUCCUAGUGNUUGUUAGCCUAUUGAAGCCUGGGUCACCUGAAUGCUUGGAUAUGCGGCUAAUGCG
RNAcentral lists this ribosomal RNA (622 nucleotides) under uncultured bacterium. RNAcentral's name for it is "bacterial SSU rRNA". The stretch from base 2 to 541 matches the Rfam family "Bacterial small subunit ribosomal RNA", at positions 9 to 546 of the family's 1533-position model. The record is from RNAcentral.